CCUCCACUGUCUCACGCAGCCUGAGGACUGCGCUGCUAUUGCAGAUGGAGGAGCUGUGUCAAUGACACGGAAGCUGCCUCCUGUAGAGAGAGAUGGCACUGGCUGCAGCUAGGGGGAGCUCCAGAGCACAGCUCCUCCCGGGCCCUUAGUAAGCCAGCCGAGGGAAGCUCAGAACUCUCUGCUCCUCCAUGCUCUGGAUGAUAGCCAAAGACAGCUGAAUCCCGCCCUGCCCGUUUUUGUGCGCCCUGCCGCCCCGCCGUUUGCUGCCUGCCGGACCCCGCCACGUCGCCGGAUCCAGCCGUGCGCCGCCGGACCCGGUGUCUUUACCGGAACUGCUGCAUACAUGACCGCUAGCGCCGGGAGCAGGCAAGUCACAACCAGCAACCGUCAGCCGACAUUCUAUCAGCACUGUCUGCAUGAUUUAGUUUGACAUGGUGAAUGUCGCCCUUAUAUAUCAUGGCCC
Long non-coding RNA from Pseudophryne corroboree (corroboree frog), 463 nucleotides. RefSeq lists it as uncharacterized. The transcript has 3 exons. The record is from RefSeq and is a predicted model, not a curated record. NCBI's taxonomy places the organism in Eukaryota, Metazoa, Chordata, Amphibia, Anura, Myobatrachidae.